This 587-nucleotide ribosomal RNA is filed under the name Stenocarpella maydis. Its description in RNAcentral is "eukaryotic LSU rRNA". It matches the Rfam family "Eukaryotic large subunit ribosomal RNA", at positions 1 to 599 of the family's 3401-position model. Lineage: Eukaryota; Fungi; Ascomycota; Sordariomycetes; Diaporthales; Diaporthaceae. The record is from RNAcentral.
UUGACCUCGGAUCAGGUAGGAAUACCCGCUGAACUUAAGCAUAUCAAUAAGCGGAGGAAAAGAAACCAACAGGGAUUGCCCUAGUAACGGCGAGUGAAGCGGCAACAGCUCAAAUUUGAAAUCUGGCCUCGGCCCGAGUUGUAAUUUGCAGAGGAUGCUUCUGGCGCGGUGCCUUCCGAGUUCCCUGGAACGGGACGCCACAGAGGGUGAGAGCCCCGUAUGGUCGGACACCAAGCCUGUGUGAAGCUCCUUCGACGAGUCGAGUAGUUUGGGAAUGCUGCUCUAAAUGGGAGGUAAAUCUCUUCUAAAGCUAAAUACCGGCCAGAGACCGAUAGCGCACAAGUAGAGUGAUCGAAAGAUGAAAAGCACCUUGAAAAGGGGGUUAAAUAGUACGUGAAAUUGUUGAAAGGGAAGCACUUGUGACCAGACUUGGGCCGGGCGGCUCAUCAGGGGUUCUCCCCUGUGCACUCCGCCCGGCACAGGCCAGCAUCGGUUUUCGCGGGGGGACAAGACCGCCGGGAACGUAGCACCCUCCGGGGUGUGUUAUAGCCCGGCGGACGAUACCCCCGCGGGGACCGAGGUCCGCG